This 25-nucleotide non-coding RNA is filed under the name Rattus norvegicus (Norway rat). Lineage: Eukaryota; Metazoa; Chordata; Mammalia; Rodentia; Muridae. The record is from RNAcentral.
UAGAAAUCAUCCAGAUGAGGUUGCC